This 232-nucleotide ribosomal RNA is filed under the name Kladothrips ellobus. RNAcentral's name for it is "partial 16S ribosomal RNA". Lineage: Eukaryota; Metazoa; Arthropoda; Insecta; Thysanoptera; Phlaeothripidae. The record is from RNAcentral.
UUAAAGUAGCGCAAUAAAUUGUCAUCUAAUUAAUGAAUAUAAUGAAGAUUUUAUGAAUUAAAUACUGUCUUUAGAAAAUAUAAUAAAAUUAAUAAUUUAGUGAAAAAUCUUAAUUAUUAUUAAAAGACGAUAAGACCCUAUAGAACUUAUUUAAAAUUUAAAUUUACUGGGGAAGUAAAAAUAAAUAUAAAACUAUUUUUAAAUAUAAAUCUUUUAUUUUAUCAUAUUAUGA